RNA transcript from Trichomycterus rosablanca, 6071 nucleotides. It is a transcript of the gene named tetratricopeptide repeat domain 3, with no coding region annotated. Lineage: Eukaryota; Metazoa; Chordata; Actinopteri; Siluriformes; Trichomycteridae. The record is from RefSeq and is a predicted model, not a curated record. The transcript has 47 exons.
AAAAGUUUGCUCAUGGUUCUGUGACGCGGCCACCGACGUGGAUUUACAUCCCUAACAGUACAGCAGCAGCUCCUCACCCUGAAGAACAAUGGACAGAUUCUCACAAGCAGUGUUUGAGUCUGAAGAUUCUGAUACUGAGGAUGGUUCAGAUGUGCUUAGUUUUGGAACCAAUAUGUUUUGUCCGAAUAGAUUGUUUCCCAUGGCACCUGAAGUCAUGAAUGAUCGCUGGAAAAGAAUAGAUCCAGAGGUGAGGAAGACUGUUGGACACAUGCUGCACGUCUCAGUGUUCUGGUGGCACAUCCUGUUCCGGCAGCAGGAGAACAGCAUCACCACAGACUGGGCUGUGGAGGUCGGAUUCUUGGACACUAAUGUUUCGAAUGAUUUAAGUUUAAAAAGACUGCAAAAAAUUGAAAUCCUGGAGCUCAUUCUUGACGCAAUGGAAAUUUUACUGGCUAAACCAGAUACAGAGAGGAGAGUAAAAGCUGUGCUCUCAUUAAGCAAUGAUUUGCAACUGCACCAGCAGGAUUGUCUUUCAAAAGUAGAGAGCUGGCUUGGGGAAUCUGGUCAGCCGGGCCUGACCAUGAAGCUUUUAGAACUCGGAUCUAAAAAAACUCGCUGCAGAGUUCUAAAUUUUGUGUUCUUUGAGUAUUCUCGUUACAUACACAUCAUGUCACAUAACGAAAAGAUGAUGAUGAGGGAGUUAUCACAAAGUCCGGAGGAGUGGUCAAUACUGAGAAGUGAAGAAAUGAAAAACAAAGGCAAUAUAGAUUUCCAAAAGAAAAAAUAUGAUUUGGCUUUAAAAUGGUACACAAAGGCCAUUAAACACCAUACCAACAACCACCUGCUUUAUGGAAACAGAGCGCUCUGCUAUAUUCGAUGUGAAAAGUAUUUAAAAGCAAUGGGAGAUGGCAAACGAGCUAUUAUACUGCAACGAGACUGGGCGAAGGGCCACUAUCGCUUCUGCGAUGCCUUGUUCUUUAUGGGAGCCAGAGGGAAAGCCGUGGAAUCCAACAUCGCAGCUCAGAACGUAUGCAGCGCCGAUUCUGAGGGAAUGAAAGACCUCCAGCAGCAGUACAGCCGCUUUCAGACGGAACUCGCUGAACUUCAAAGUGAGGGCAGAGCCUCAGCAACUUCAGAAGGUGAAAAAAGACAGAGAAAAACUGGUUCUAAGAAAGGAUCUAACAAACAACCGGAGGGUGCAUGUGGACUAGAUCCACUGGCCCAAAAUGUUCCAUUACACACGGCUCCAGAUAAUGAUUGCACACCCGCUGCUAAUAAAGAUGCGAAAGCAGAAGACACAAAAAUUCUACAGGAAACCUCAGGACCGUUCGCGGCUCAAGCUGAGGACGGCGCAAAGGGGGCCAACGACGCUAAAAUCAGUGAAAUGGGGGACCGGAAAACAAAAAAACUUGUGCCACAAGCUUCAGAGAAGCAGUCUGUCAGGAGUAAACACCAUCCUACACAAGAAAAAUCGCAGGGCAGCGGCAGCAGCACUGAAGUGGGCAGUAAGGAGCAGUUUUGCGCCGCAGUGCAGGAUGCUCAUACGGCUCUGACUGACCAGCGCUGCCACAAUGCCGAACAGGCCUUCUGUCUGGCUCUUAGGAUUCUGGACUCCAUUGGAACCAAGGUUCUCGGCAUAUCUGAACUAGAUAAAGCUUUGCUGAUCUACGGUUAUGCUACAGCCCUGAUAGAAAUCGGCAAACCUGAGGAAUUGUCAGAAGCUCAGAAACAGUUAAAUAAACUAAACUCUUCACAAGAUAGAACGUUUAAGUCUUUGGUCCAUUACGGGUUUGGGAAGGUUUUUCUAAAGGAGAACAGAUUUAAAGAUGCCAAAGAAGAAUUUUCAAACGCUUUGACAAUGCUUCGGAAGCAAAUCAUGCCUGGAAAACUCACCUGGCCAACGACUAAAGUAACCGUCAAAGAGACCCAACCUGACGUUUUAAAGGACCUGCUUGAGAGCUUUAUUCAGGUGUGCAAAUUUCCCCCUAAGCCGGAUGCAAAUUGUCGACAUCAGCCUUGUCUGGGUCACGCCAAUCAGAUCUACUUUACUGAUCCAGAUUUUAGGGGUUUUAUUCAGCUGUCAUGCAGUGAACGUUGCUGGGUGGAGUUUCAUAUUAAUUGCUGGAAAAAGCUCAAAGCGGCUUCAUUUCCUGAUAAGAAUGAUAAGGAUUUUCUUCAGAGUUCAUGUUUUACUCCUGACUGCACCGGUAAAAUUUGUCACAUCAUAAUUUUUGACUCUACAGGACUUAAAAAGUGUGAGUUUGAGUCGUCUGUUCCGAAGAGUCACAAUCCUGGAAAACUAAGAGUCAAACAGAAAUGUACAAGUCUUAAGAAGAUCAAAUCUAAAGAGAAUAGGAAGCAGAGACGAAAACAGAAGAGGGCGGCUGAGUCUAAACUUAAGGACGAGGUUAAUGAGUUAACACCAGAAGAAAACAAUAGCAAACAAGCAGAGAACAAUGUUGUCCAAACAUCACCCCGAAAUAGAGUUUUAUACGGAGACCGAGUUUUACAGCAAAUAUACGAAAGCAGAGAACUUUUUAACGAUGAGCUUCACAGUAUUUCUAAUAUGCUCGUACGUCUGAGACCGUGGAUGGACCUGGAUGAAGCUAAUGGCCACGAAAGCGUAUUAAAGGACCGGGCGGAGCCGCAUGUUCUAAGGGACCUGGUGGAUUUGUUGUUGGAAAGAGGGAACCGGGUCUGGGCGAGAAUUUUCGUUCAUAACCUCACAGACUGUAAAGACAUCAAACCUAAACUUUAUGAAUGGGCUCAGCAGCUUGACAAUACAGGUUUGAACAUUGCUGAUAAGUUUAUUUCUCAGUGCGGUGAACAUCUGGAGGAGUUCGAUUUCUCUCCUCUGCUCAAGUUCCCUCCACUGCAGGACCUGAGUGAGAAAUUUGGUCCCAUGCAGGAGCUGUUAGGAGACCCAGGGUUUACUUUACAAGACUACCUGAGACAAGCAGCGCCGCAGGAAAUGCGUCUGUUCGUGUGGGCUCUAGAGGAGCACAGAGAGCGCUACCCGUCCUGUUUUGCUUCGCUUGAUGAGUAUUUUGAGAUGGAUGCCGUAUGUUUAGUAAUUAAGAAGACAGACUUUGAGGACCAAUUAAGUUCAGUUUAUAAGAGUAAAGGCAAACAUCGAAAAAAGAAACAAAAAGAAUCGAAGUCGAUUUUAGUUUUGUCCGGGAUUGGAAGCAUCCCAAGAGAUGAAGAAGAUUUUUUCACUGAGGAAGAUUCACUGAUGUUCCUGAAUAACACUGAUCCCUUUAGUAUUCCGAAUCACCUAAGGGAGCAGGUAGAAGAGUUUGAGGGCCGAUAUGUCAACACAGGAGGGUUACCCCACUAUAAUAGAAUUUUGGACAAUCACCCAGAUCCAGCGAAAGAGAGUUUAUACGGUUACUUUGAACAAAUUCUGGAGGAACAUGGUCCUCUAGAGGCGUCAAAUCCACUCUUGGUGGGAGAGCUGGACAAUUUCCCCCCCGAAGCCCAGAAUUUAAUCGAAGUAGCCGGGGGACUCAAGCCUUUCCUACUGGGUUCUCUGAGAUUUGUAAGGUUCGACAACCUGAUCGGACUGAUGGAGCACUCCGUAAGCCUGCAGCAUGCCGUGGUGGAUUUUGUCCCUUUAUUUGAUCCCUUUUAUCCUCAUACAUACGGCGAUGACGAUUUGCAACCUACAGAACCUUCUCACCUCAACCCCACAGCCAAAGAAUUCCUGCCUCACGAUAUAUCUGAGACUAUUAAACCUGGAUUAGAAGGAGAGGAGUAUCCUGAUCACAUCCCUAAUGUCCCACUAAGCUUUAAUUCUGACGACCCUGGUUCUAAUAAUAACGAUGUUAUUUCUUAUUGUGAGGAAUUUAAUUAUAUGGAAGGUAGAAGAUCUAAACGUAAGACCACUUUUGUUCAGACUGUUGCAGAUUCCCAAGAUGACGUUGCCAUUAAUACUGAACCAUUUGCACCAUACGAAAAGAAUAACGGAGAUUUUACCCUGACAGAAAAAAACAACAUACAAAUGAAAAAACGCAUCCAAAAUAUACAAGAAACUCGUGAGAUUCUUCAAAAGGAAAGAAAAGACACGUGUUCUGAACUAGAGGACGAAGUGAAGCAAAUCCGAGAGCAAGCAGAGAUUGCCAAAAAAGAACUGGACAUGUUCCAAAAAAUGCUGGAGGAGGAGGUACAGAAAGGUCAGCAGGAGAAGAAAGACCACCAGGAGAUGGUGAAAGCCUUGAAGAGCGAGAACAAAGAGCUGGCAGAUCAGCACGACAGUUACUUCAAGCAAAUCCAGGAAAAGAACGUGGCUUAUCAGAAGGAGCUGGAUGAUUAUCUCGCAAAAAGUAACCAGUCUGCUGCUGAAAAAUCCAGUUUGGAGGAUGAGAUCAAGAGAUGCCAAAAUGUGCUGGCCAAAGCAACCGGUCGAUCACUGGCUGCCCAGACGUGCAUCCUGCAAAACAAGCGAGAACUAGGACUGUGCGGACUGAGGAAGUACAUCUCAGAUGGCAAGUCCACUCUACAGUACAUGACCGAAAUAUCAACCAGGGUGCCUCAUCCAGGCCUUCUAUCCAAUACUGAUGCCUGGAAGGCAUGCGUGCAGGCUGCUCAGGAGAGGAUCAGGUUGACGGAGAUGAGGUAUGAGGAGCAGCUUGAGCUUUUGAAGAAGGGUACCAACCUGAGCUCUCUUCCUCCAGUCUCAGUACCCAGCCUUCCUGUUUCUCCUCCUAUACCGGCAUUGCCGUAUCCUCUGUCCAACCAGCAACCCAAUUCCCGGCAGCCUCAUGUGCAGCGCUCUUACACCGAACCCUUGUACCCGGCUCAGCAGCAUCCUACCAGAAUUCGGCCACAAACUACUGAGAACCUACCUCCGCUCAAGCCUGCUCAGAGGGCCAUGCACACCCCGCCGGCAGCCGACGAGAGAGCCGCUGCUCCAGCCUCCGCUGUAGCCCCACCGGUGCAUCCCCAGCCUGCUGCUGUGUUCGAUAAGAUCAUAGAUCGCCUCAGCUCCAUGUUCCCUCACUACACCAGGCCAAUCCUCUCCAGGUUCAUUCAGGAAGUCCGCGCCAACAACGGUGGCACCCUGAAUAUGCUCACAUACGAACAGAUCAUCAACAGAGCAGCUCAGCUCAUCCUCGACCACCAGGAGCACUCGCAAAUGAACAUGCUGAGUGGGAACGGUGCUGGAAUGAGGGAGAACGUCGUGCCCAGUCCAACCCCUUCUCUCGAUUCGUCCAGAGCUACUCCGACCCCACCGCCGGCCCACGCCUGGAAGAGCGUAUCCUCGCACCCUCGCAACUCCUCAAAAGCGAAAUGGACCAAGUGCAAUGGCCCACCUUGACAGAGUUGUAGAAAGCCUCGAAGACACCAACACUCUUGGAACUGAGCUGCAGGUUCACCAGGCCCUCCAUAGUAAGCGUGAUUCCCUGAUGCUGCACGGCUUCCUUACUAUUGAUCACCACCACUCCAGCCAGGAUCUCCUGCACCAGCAGAAGAAACAAAGGAACGGUAGUUACUCAUUACACAAGGUUCAUCAGUAUACAAGGUUAUGUCGAACACAGUCAUGGACAAUUUUGUAUCUCCAGUUCACCUCACUUGCACGUUCUUGGACUGUGGAAGGAAACCGGAGCUCCUGGAGGAAACCCACGCAGACAUGGGGAGAACAUGCAAACUCCACACAGAAAGAACCCGGACCGCCCCACCUGGGGAUCGAACCCAGGACCUUUUGGCUGUGAGGCGACAGUGCUACCCACCGAGCCAUCGUGCCGCCCUAAUAGUAUUUUAAAUACAUACUGUAUAUUGCGCUACUUAGAUUCACUUUGACUUUGAAUCAAUGCAUUCAUUAGAUGCACUAUAACAGAACUUCAAUAUACAUAUCUUGCACUGACUAAAUCACCAACACGAUUCAUCUAAUAGUAACAUCAGUGUGCAUAUACAGUAAUUGAUUAUAUAAAUGCUGUUCAGAUACACUGUCCACCACUGUAAUAAGGUAUAGGCUCUCUUAUGCUGUAGCACUGAAGUAUUUAUAUAGUCUUAUCUAAUAUAUGAACUGUUUUUAAUGAUGUAUACAUUGGAAUAAAGUUCUACUUUCA